UCACUGCAGACAUUCUGGCUUCAAACUGGUAAAGCAUGAGACUCUUCAUCUCAGGGCUGUGGGUUCAAGUUCCACGUUGGGUGAA
This is a non-coding RNA of Podarcis lilfordi (Lilford's wall lizard), 85 nucleotides long. The record is from the annotation of a GenBank genome assembly. Lineage: Eukaryota; Metazoa; Chordata; Lepidosauria; Squamata; Lacertidae.